Molecule: long non-coding RNA, 902 nt
Organism: Eriocheir sinensis (Chinese mitten crab)
Lineage: Eukaryota; Metazoa; Arthropoda; Malacostraca; Decapoda; Varunidae
Exons: 3
Source: RefSeq, a predicted model, not a curated record
AGGAGGACAGAUGGAGGUUAAUAAACACUUGCAAGGAACCCCGAAGUAACGUGGACAGCAUGUUAGGGUGAGACCUUAACCAGUGACACUCAGAAAGUUAAACAAAUAUACAAACAGUUCACCCACACACCGAUAACCAUGAGAUAUAGAAGAACCACAUCAAACAACCCAAAAGGUAACAAUAUCCAAUCCUUAAGUCAAACUGUGAUUACAAUGAACUUGAGACUGGAACAAAAAAUAAUGUCUGCAAUGAAAUUAAAUGUAGUAAAAUAAUUGCAAGAUCUACGAUUAAGGAUUACGUCUGAAUGCAAAGCAGCACAUCUCUAUCUUCAUUCUUUGUGCUGUCAUGUGGUGUUGAGAAGUGGUGUGGUAUGGAGGUAAGGUGAGGUGUGGUAUGAGGGUAUGGUGUGUUAGGGUGUGCAGAUGUGGUGUGGUAUGGAGAUAUGGUGUGGUGUGGUAUGGGGAUAUGGUGUGUUAGGGUGUGCAGAUGUGGUGUGGUGUGUUGAUAUGGUGCUGGGUGGUAUGGAGAAGUGAUGUGGUUUGCAGAUAUGGUGUGCUGUGGAGAUCUGGUGUGAUUUGGUGUGGUGUGGUAUGAGGAUAUGGUGUGUUAGGGUGUGCAGAAGUGGUGUGGUGUGGUGUGGUGUGUUGAUAUGGUGCUGGGUGGUAUGGAGAAGUGAUGUGGUUUGCAGAUAUGGUGUUGUGUGGUGUGGAAAGAUAGAAUGUGAUAUGAGUAACAGAACAUGGUGUGGCAAGGUGUGGAAAGAUGUGGUGUGCAGACAUAUGGUGUGGCAAGGUGUGGAAAGAUGUGGCGUGCAAUGUAUCGGGAAAUAACAAUGCAUAUGAAGCAAAAACGCACCGAGUUCAAAACGUGAUUGCAUUAAUUGUGUCCAUGCAGACAUUCU